This 254-nucleotide ribosomal RNA is filed under the name uncultured bacterium. Its description in RNAcentral is "partial 16S ribosomal RNA". It matches the Rfam family "Bacterial small subunit ribosomal RNA", at positions 524 to 776 of the family's 1533-position model. The record is from RNAcentral.
UACAGAGGGUGCAAGCGUUGUUCGGAAUUAUUGGGCGUAAAGAGCUCGUAGGCGGUUGAGUAAGUCGGGUGUGAAAACUCUGGGCUUAACCCAGAGCCGCCACCCGAUACUGCUCUGACUUGAGUUCGGUAGGGGAGCAGGGAAUUCCUAGUGUAGCGGUGAAAUGCGCAGAUAUUAGGAGGAACACCGGUGGCGAAGGCGCUGCUCUGGGCCGAUACUGACGCUGAGGAGCGAAAGCGUGGGUAGCAAACAGG